RNAcentral lists this ribosomal RNA (505 nucleotides) under uncultured bacterium. RNAcentral describes it as "partial 16S ribosomal RNA". It matches the Rfam family "Bacterial small subunit ribosomal RNA", at positions 28 to 507 of the family's 1533-position model. The record is from RNAcentral.
GACGAACGCUGGCGGCGUGCCUAAUACAUGCAAGUAGAACGCACAGUUUAUACCCUAGCUUGCUACACCAUAGACGGUGAGGUGCGAACGAGUGAGUAACGCGUAAGUAACCUGCCUGGUAGCGGGUGAUAACUACGGGAAACGAUAGCUAAUACCUCAUGAUAUUAAUUAUUGCAUGAUAAUUAACGGAAAUGUGCAAUUGCACAGCUACCACAGGGACCUGCGUUGUAGUUGCUAGUAGGAGAGGUUACGGCGCACCUAGGCGACGACACAUAGCCGACCCUGGGGGGUGGUCCGCCCACCUGGGACUGAGACACGGCCCAGACUCCCACGGGGAGCCGCCGUAGGGGAUCCUCGGCCAUGGGCGGAAGUCUUAACGGGCCACGCCGCGUGAGUGAAGAAGGUUUUCGGGUCGUUAAGCUCCGUUGUAUGGGGAGAACGGGUGUUGGAGUGGAAAGUGCACGUUGUGACGGUAUCUUAUCAGAAAGGGACGGCUAACUACGUG